AUCAGGCUAUGCGAGGAGGGAUUAGAUAAAUGCAAGAGAGAGAAAGUUCAUUUAAACACUCUUUUUCUCUCUCCUAACUCUUCCUUAUCUCUUCGCUCUCCCUCACCACUCAAGAAAAAACUAAAUGACCACCACACAUCCACACCAGUCACCGCCCUAAACCACCACCAGCCACCACAAGAGCCACCGUCCCACCCAAAUUCCGGUUGAACUUCAACCGGAAAAUUCAACAUAACCCGCAAAAUUUGCAGAAACGCCCAAAUCACCUUCAAUCCAAAAUCUUUCAAAAUGAACCGCUUUCUAAAUCCUUCCUUAAACACAACUCUUAAACCAAAAUCUCCAAAAACAAACUCAUAUCACCGGAUCGAGAAUCUUACCUAAUUUCAAAUUCUAAAAAAAAUCCAAACCACAACCUAGUUUAACCCACUUCUAAACAUCAUUUUGAAACCAAAAUAAACAAAAAAAAGCAACAUGAGUUCGAGCCAACAGAAAAAAAACGAAUCAAAUCCUAUGUCUCAAAAUAGAUUCAAUCUGGUUCAAAUAAUCAUAACAUCAAGCAUGGCGUCUACACAAACAGGCAAGCAAUAAAAAUAUAAACACGAAGGGAUCAAGAUGUUACCAAUCAAAUAUUACCGAUGUGAAGCCCUUAUAGGUUCUUUUGAUGAUGAUAGGCACGAUUUGAAUGAGCAAGAUUGGUAUAGAGGAAAUUGGUGGAUAUGGCAUGGAAAAGGGUAUUUUGCAUGGUCGUGGUGAUUACUUGAAGGUGGAGAAAAGAUGAGCGUGGAGAAAACUUGAAGCACUUUAGGUUUAGGGAAUUUUGAAGAAGAUUAGAGUUUAUGACUUUUUCUAUGUAAUAAUAACUCCAUAUGUACUAAAGAAAAUUGAAGUAAUGCAAAAGUUCCACUCUUUAUGA
Long non-coding RNA from Lathyrus oleraceus (garden pea), 913 nucleotides. RefSeq lists it as uncharacterized. The transcript has 2 exons. The record is from RefSeq and is a predicted model, not a curated record. NCBI's taxonomy places the organism in Eukaryota, Viridiplantae, Streptophyta, Magnoliopsida, Fabales, Fabaceae.